Small nuclear RNA from Echinops telfairi (small Madagascar hedgehog), 103 nucleotides. Lineage: Eukaryota; Metazoa; Chordata; Mammalia; Afrosoricida; Tenrecidae. The record is from Ensembl.
GUGCUCCCUUCAGAAGCACAUCUACUCAAUCUGGAAUGAUUCAGAGAUUAGCAUGGCCCCUGUACAAGAUGACAUGUACAUUUGUGAAGCAUUCUAUAUUUUC